AUUGAACGCUAGCGGGAUGCUUUACACAUGCAAGUCGAACGGCAGCGCGGACUUCGGUCUGGCGGCGAGUGGCGAACGGGUGAGUAAUGUAUCGGAACGUGCCCAGUAGCGCGGGAUAACUACGCGAAAGCGUAGCUAAUACCGCAUACCCCCUACGGGGGAAAGCAGGGGAUCGUAAGACCUUGCACUAUUGGAGCGGCCGAUAUCGGAUUAGCUAGUUGGUGAGGUAACGGCUCACCAAGGCGACGAUCCGUAGCUGGUUUGAGAGGACGACCAGCCACACUGGGACUGAGACACGGCCCAGACUCCUACGGGAGGCAGCAGUGGGGAAUUUUGGACAAUGGGGGCAACCCUGAUCCAGCCAUCCCGCGUGUGCGAUGAAGGCCUUCGGGUUGUAAAGCACUUUUGGCAGGAAAGAAACGUCGCGGGCUAAUACCCCGUGGAACUGACGGUACCUGCAGAAUAAGCACCGGCUAACUACGUG
RNAcentral lists this ribosomal RNA (484 nucleotides) under uncultured bacterium. Its description in RNAcentral is "partial 16S ribosomal RNA". It matches the Rfam family "Bacterial small subunit ribosomal RNA", at positions 30 to 507 of the family's 1533-position model. The record is from RNAcentral.